Molecule: long non-coding RNA, 17457 nt
Organism: Mus musculus (house mouse)
Lineage: Eukaryota; Metazoa; Chordata; Mammalia; Rodentia; Muridae
Product: predicted gene, 53537
Exons: 2
Source: RefSeq, a predicted model, not a curated record
CACAUGGUCACACCUACACAUAAACAAAAAUAAAUCUUAAAAAGUAGUUUUUGAGAGGGUUUCAGACAUAGUUCUGUGGCUCUGCAGAACUAGGUAAUCUGUUAAAGUAGUCAGACUGAAGACACCCCAGGUGGGAUAAGAUAUCCCGCUGUCAUAAUGCCCUUAUCACUGAGGACCCUCGAGUCUGUUGGUAGAGCCAUACAGUGGAGGAGUGCUUCUGGGAAGUGGAGUCUUUGUGCACCUGGCCCCAGAAUGCACCGGGCUUCUUUCAUUAGUCCGGCUCCCGCAGUUGCGGUGCAGCAGUGACUGCUGGCCGCCCGUUUUUGAUGGCAAUUUGGCAGAGAGUCAAACUUUGGCCCCGAAGCAGAGGUGGCACAAUUAGGCAGCUGAGAAGCAUUCUCUCAACACACACUUUUAAUUGAUUUCAGCUUGUUUCAGUUUGCAAAGACAGAGCUGUUACACGCAGCGCAGCGGCCUUCUUUCGAGGGGCUUAUUUUUACUUUCCCUUUAUUCAGCAGCGCUAAUUCAACAGCACCAGAAGCGACAAUAAUGGCAGAGCGCUGAAGAGAGCAUCUUUGGCAUGGCUUGGAUGCAAAAAGUAUUAUUAAGAACUAAUGAGUAGGAUAGUUAGAUGUUAACCAGAAAAGCAUCAAUGAGCAGAAGAGCGAACGAGCGAUCGAGCGAACAUUCUGGGGCAAACAUCUGCCUCUGAAGCAGAUGUUACCUUGUAAGUUUACAGAAGGAAAGGCAGCGUAAGUGUAAGCUGGUGGUUUUAGGUAUGGCAGGGACAGGGAGAUAAUCACGGGGCCUUCUUGUUCUUCUUGAACUCACAGAUGACUGUGGAUAGAGGUAUGGGCUUUAAAUAGGAAAGGUAUCAAGCAAGGAUGAGGUGACAUCAGUGGCAGCUGUGGUGGAUUGUGACCUGAGACUGUCAGCAACUAACUGUGUUCUCCCCUGCUUUAUCUAGAGCCCAGACAUCUCUUCAGCACACAAGGUUACAGCUGCUAUAACCUUGUCCAAUGAGAGGUUAAGACCUGUGACCCGUUCAGCCCCAGCCCAAAAUUACCUAACCUACUGCUGACUUGUAGAACAGCUUGGUUUAUGCAGAUGAUAAUGAGCCAGUGGCCACACAUUUUCUCGUUACACAGUCAAGGAGGCGUCAGCCUUUCAAUGGAAAGAAGUCCAGUGGAGAAGAGGAUGGGGCCAGCCUCCCUGAUGCUCUGAUACUUAGACAUGGGGCUUUGGAGUGGAGUAAAUUCCAGCCACCAAGCCAUGUGACUAAAGUUUGCCAUUGCAUGGCACAUGUAUUUGUACCCGAAUGAUCAUUGGUAUGGUGACAGGGAACCUUUUGCCACUCUCCUUUGGAAAGCUAUGUUCUCCAUCAACAUGUAACCGAGAUUCCCCAGCACCCUGCCUAUCUUUGGAGGAUGGACUGCAGAGAUAAGCUAGCCAUGCAAUCCAUAAUCUCGAGCUUGCAGUUAUGUGUUUGGCUCUCGAUGGAUCUGCCCUCUACCACAAAGAAAGGUCUUUGAAACAUUUCAGGGAGAAUCUCUUGGCCAAUGACAACCUUUCAUUGAGAUUUUUCAUUACAUAUUUUGGGGGCUCCAUAGGCUAUUGUAUGGAAACAUUUCAGCAGAGGACCCCAAGGAUGACCUGUGAAUACAUGCCGCAGAGAGACGACUUUAACUUUGUGUCAGAUUGUCCACUUGUAGAUGUGAAGUUUCCCUUUCCUCUGUGUGUAUGUGUGUUUACAUACACACACGGAUAUGCAUGCAAGUGUGCAUUGUGUGUGUGUGUGUGUGUGUGUGUGUGUGUGAUUUUCUCUCAUCUGGAAAGAGGGCAGAUCUGGAGAUCAUUUCGCAGACUCGGGGGUCAGUUUAUGCAUAGUCCAUAGUCCUUAGGAGCAUUCAUUCCAUCCUAGAGAAAGCAGGGGCGCCUCCAAGAGCAAAACAUUCUCGGCGUCUUCCUUCUGCUGUUUGCAACACUGACUCACAUUUCUUGAAGGAGGUUCGGCAUCUGCUGUGUGGUUCUCAGUGUGACACAAGUGGGCUUCGCUUCCCUCCCAGGGAAAGUGUGCCCCUGCCUCACCUGUUGAGGGCAGGUGAGGUGAACAGAGCUUGUGUGUGUUGAGGAGCCUGGGGAGGAACCAUCCUGGUGGCUCUCUCAGUGGAGCAGAGUCAGCUGUGCUUGUCCCCGCUUCACCUGCCUGAUGGUGACACAGAAGUGAGGUUGGAAAGGUUGUGCUGUGCCUUGAAAUCUCAUAAUGACAUAAAUGAGCCAUUCAGUGCCCGUGGAAGGAGCUAUAGAGAGAAUUCUCAAAUAACAACAACAGCAACAACAAGCCACUUUUCUCUAGUACGGACUUUACCAGUGUUGUUGCUGGUUCCCACCCCUGUCAUGCCCCGACUCUGUCAUCAUGUUGACCCUCCAAGGCACACUUUACUAAUGGGGACCAGAACUUUGUGGGGACUUGGCAGAUUUCUAAAGUCCCACUUCUGGUAGAUGAUAGAACCAGACUUUAACCAAGAUCUGCCUUUCUCCCAAGCCUGUGUUCUUUCCAUACUGCACAGUCUGCUCCCCUGGCCCUGCCACUUUGUGCUUCCCCAACACGAAACUUCAGGCACCUUCUGGAACAAGCUGUUUGGUUUCUCGCUCAUGUGGCUUUCUUCUUUCUUGCAUAACCAACUCGCAUGAUCAGCACAUGUACACACAGAGAGAUAAACAUAGUUAGGAGUGCUGUAAGGAAGUCAACGGUGGGACUGUAGACCAGAGUGGCAUUGAUGGGAUGGAUAACCGGUGCUUCAGAAGCCGGUACGGUCUGGAACCCCCGAGCUGGCCUAGAAACGGCUUGCUAACAGAAGACAUCUGCGCCUCUCUACUUUACAAGCACCGUGACAAUCUCCACAAGCCACAAGGUCUGAGGAACUGUAACAUUUAUGGCUCCCUGGCCAUAAAUUCAUGCGGAGCCCAUGAAAAUGCGGCCCCAUGGGGUUAUGGCAGAGAUGCAGAACUGCAAACAUCUGCACAUGGGCAGUAAAGCUAACCUCUGGUGCGCGGCCCUCCACUGUUGCCGACAUAUAUUAACAUUAGUGACAAUUGAAUGUGAUUAUCUGGGAUGCCAUUUUAUCUGCCAGCUGCAGACUUAUGGCUCCUAAAGAUCCCAUUCCUCCCUUUCCUCAUAUGUUGUUUUUAUGUGACUCAAAUUGUAUGCAGGAAUUCAUGAUUACUGGGGGCUUCCCUCUUACUUCUUAGUGGAUGCAGGCUAUGUAUAAAUUUCCAGUACUUAAAUUGAUUGUAGCUUUUAGAUGAAAUAGGCCCCUCAAAAGUCUGUGAAGCAGCUGCGCAAAUGGCAAAGCAUUCAUUGUUUUAUGUCUGAAGACCCCACCAAGAGCCUGGGGGAAAAGAAUGUAUUUUGACACUGGUGGGCAGGGCUUGGGGCCAGCAAGUUUGUGAAUUCAUUUUUAUGUUAGUUGUUUGGAGUUUGUGAUUAAUAUGUCACAUUGUCAAGGUUUAAAUCUCUGAUAUUUCUUUUCGAUUAUUCAAGUUGGUUUUAUGAAGUUUUUCUGGGCUGGAGAGUCAAUUCUUUAGGCUUUGCGACUUAUGUAAUUUCCAUAGCAAUUACUGACUACCAUCAUUGUAGAGAGAAAACAGUGUAGGCAAUCUAUAAGCAAAUGAAGCAAAUUUCAUGGCUUCAUUGAAAUAAAAUUUUAUUUAUAAAAAUAGGCAGCAUGAUAUUAUUUGUUGAACCUUGCCUCAAACACAUGCAGAUAUGUCCAGUUAUUGGGAAAUUUAGGAAGACUUUAGAACUUUUAGGAAUGAACCCGCAUCUCAUUCCAGUUGACAAUAUCCAAAGUUGCAAAACACCAAUUUUAAGUUAAUAUAAAUUGUAGUCUUUAGUCUAGCAUAAGCCUGCUUAACGUUUGCUUGCUUUUAGUUCGUCCAAUGCAUAGAGCGCUCCAGUCAUAGGGAUUUGACAGAGUGUAAGUGUUCAGAGGGAAUGGGGCUGAGAGACAUCAGUCUUGUAGUGUGUUUCAUUGAGUUCCUUUCAUACAGCUUGUGUGUGGUGUUUGCGCAUGCUUGUAUGGGAGUGUGCACAUGUGCUUGUGGGUUUGCGUGUAUGUGUGCCUGUGCGUGUGGACGCCAAAGAUCAACGUUGGUUUUCACAUUAUUUUUUAAAAGAGUUAUUACUAUUGCUAUUGGUAUUGUUUUAAGUUUGAUGAUUUUCACUGUGUAUGUUUGCAUGAGUGCAAUGUCUGUGGAUACCAGAAGAGAUCAGAAGGCAUUGGGAUCCCUGGACCUGGAGUGGGUUCAGGCCCUUUGGAAGAUCAGCAAGUGCCCUUAACCACUGCGCUGUCUCUCCACCUGGCACUGCUUGUGUGGCAGGAAUGUCCUCCACUGAGCCUUUCCCCUGCCUUUAUGAAGUCUUGCUUAAGACUGUGGGUUGGCAUGAGCUUUUGCUCUCAGAUAAGUAGAAUUUCAGACUGGGUUGAACUCCUCAGGCGUCUGAGAGCAAACGUUUAGACUCACAGGUCCUCUUGAGACAUCGUCCUGCAUCCUCAGGCUGAUGUUUUGCUUGACUCUGAGAGUGUGCCGAGGUCGGAUUUUGCAAAUAUUUGCUGGAUGAUAGCUUCCAAAUGGCAAAAAGGUUUCUAGUGUUGCAGUUUGAAAAAAGAUUACAGAGAUCUGUGAGCAAAGUAACUAUUACAGUGCUGGGGCUGCUUUUCGACUGUUGUGGAGCAAUAUUUUAUGGUCCUUCAUCAGUCUGAGAGACUACCAAAUCCAUAUUGCACUAGAGCCAGGGACUGACACCAACCCAGACCUGGGCUAGCAGCCUGGGCACACGACACCUAGAGAAUUUCUUCUGAUCCCUACUUGGCCACACGGAGAUGAUCCCAUCUUGUAAUUUCAAGUGCACUUCUAUGGGUAGCAACUACUGACAACUGUAAGUUAAGCCAAGCAAACUCUUCUCUUCUAUGCCUUCAUCUUAGCAGAUAAGUGACUCAGAAGACGAGAUAAGAGAAAAUCUGGGAGGGAAGAGCAAAGCUCCACCACCCUUGUAGCUCUUUGUGGGACUUUUUCCUAUGGUCAGAAUCAAAUGGUUUGGAUGGCUCAUUGCCUCAUUAGAGCAGAGCAGAGGGCAAAUGGGGUGAUAGCUUCCUUGGGUCAGUUGUUCUUGGUGUGGUACUCAACAUUGCAGCAUGAGCAUCACCACAAAGCGUCUCAGAAAUGGGGAUGUUGUGGCUGGAGGAGGGCUCAGAGCACCACCUGAUCUUCCUGAGAACUCAUGCUUGAUUCCCAGCAUUCCUGUUAGCUCACAACUGCCUGCAACUCCAGGUCCAGGGAUCUGAUGCCUUCUUCUAGCCUGUGUACACAUUAUAUACACAUGGUGUACAAACAUGCAUGGAAGCAAAAUACUAAUAAAACAAAAUAAAAGUGGAUAAAUCUCUUUAAAAUGUUAAAAGAAAUAAAUGGGAACUUCCAGGAGCUGAAGUCAAACUGCAGACUGAGGGUCCAGAAUCCCCAUUUGAGCUAGGGAUCUGUCCUAACCAGACCUGCACUUCAUUGUACAUAACCAGUUUGAGUCCACCACCACCACCACCACCCAACCAGAUCUCUUUUCCAGGGGUGAGGCCCAUUCCCGCCAUCCUUGGAGCCUGGAACCAGCAGCAGGUGAGGCCGGGCAGGAUAGGGUGUAGUCUCCAGAAUAGUUCUGUGGCCUCUCCCAGCAGGGAGCAGUAUCUUGAAGGAUAACAGUGGCAGUGGCUGAACAAUAGAGUGAUCUAGAGAGGAAGGCUCCACCCUAGGUAAUCUCCUUAGUGGCAGCAAGGUCAAGGUCUGGCUUAGCCUGCUUCAGGCUAGGGGAUGUUACAAAUAUUCCAUGCAGAUGACACCAUUAUGUCUUGAUGUAAAAAGGUUAGACACACCCGAACCAUUAUUUUCUUUAAAUGAUGAUGGAUAUUGAGGACGAAUUAGAAUGGAAGGUGUGCCCACCAUCAGACUGCUGGCUAGAGGGUAGGGAUUAGCUCUUUGAUUAGCAGGCCAGCUCUCUACUAGCCACAGUACCCCCUGAGCACUUGGUAAGAAGGUAGAGUGUGGACCAAGUUUUGUAGGCUGUAGUCUGAUGAGUCAUAGAAAGGCUUGUGAUGGUGGUCUUUCCUCUUUCCCUGAACAGCCUUUCCAGGGGUCCCAACAACUUCCCAAGGAACUUCUUUUAAAUGAAAGGCUCCUCUGCAAAUGCCUAAGAGCUCAUUAGUAAGAGAGGAGAGGGAGGAGGAGGGGAAGGAGAGGGAGGAGGAAGGAGAGGGGGAUGGGGGGGGGAGAGUGGACCUCUUAUCACGUGGUCAUGGGAAUUAAAGGUUAAUAUUUUGGGUCACUUGGGGAUGAUGCAGCUAAGUCUGGAGAGGGAAACAUACACACAUACAUGCACACAUGCACAGGCACGUGCAUACACAGCAUAAACAGAUUGUGAAGACUCGUGGCAGAAAACAAACAACACGGAGAAAAUCAAAGAAGAUGGGUGGAACAGAAAGGGCCUGCAUUUUGAAUAGGUGGUAUGGAUUCCAGAAUGAUCUGUUUCCUAAACACUUUUGGUAAAGUGGUGUACACAGUGACAGAGCCGAACAGCUGCCUCGCUGACUUGGUGAAUUGCUCUGUUUCAGAACUCAUAGCUCCCUCUCCUCCAGGCAUCUGUUACUGAGAACACUCGAAGGUUCUGCCAAGAGAUCUCAAACUGGCAAUGGGAGGCUUGGAAUUUAGAAAAUUGGGGGAGGCGCAUGUGCAUGCACAUCCCCACACACAUAGAUGCUCCUUACCUCCUGAGAAGACUGAGGGCAUCCUGGGGAGAGAGGCGGAGAUUUCCCCUUGUUUAUAUACCUCUCAUAAAGGUCACAUAACUCAGCACUAUCCCUUUAAUUUUUAUUUUAUUUAUAUGUAUGCAAGUGUAUCUGUGUAUGUGUGUACACAUAUGUAUAUGUUUAGAUGUGCAUGGAGCCUGUAAGAAGGUAUUGGGUCCCCUGCAUCUGGAGUUACAAGUCACACAAGUGGAGUCAUCAGUUGCAAGCCACUGGAUGUGUUGGGAACUGGACACCAGUCCUCUGUAAGAGUACUCUUAACCACUGAGCUAUCCCUCCAACUUAUAUUUUGUUUUUAAUCAUUAAUUUAUUUCCUGUGUGUGGUGGGUGCUCUUGGCAAUCAUGUGGCAGAGGACCGCUUGCUGUAGACAUUUCUCUCCUUCCACCUUGUGGCUCCCAAGGAUCCAAGUCAGGCCAUCAGUUUGGCAGCAAAGUACCUUUACCCACUGAACCAUCUUGCAAGUCCAACUCCAGCUCUUUUGAUUAUUCUCAGGUUCCAGAGAAACUUCAGCAAGACAGUAGCUUGCUUUUCCCAGAGACACAAUGAAAUUGUAUCUGGAUUGUGUGCGGUCUACACUUAGGUUCUUCCAUGAUGUGACUGAGUGACUGUCCAAGUAUGGUUAGUGGAGUCCACAGGAGGCUUGUGCUAUUCCAAAGGACCAAGCAAAGGCUAAAUAGACCAGAACACUCUAGAAUCGAGAGAGGAAAUGAUGUUGGCCUUCACUGUGAGGCUUGGCAGAGAUCCCAAGUGAGGAGAAUGGCUUAUGUGGCCAGUGUGGCAUAACGAUGCCUUGCCUUUGCCUCUUGCUUGCUCUCUCCAUCCUCUUGGCUGUGAGGGAAUGGCUCCUGUAGGAGGAAGCUGCCUCUUACUCUCAUCCUAAAUGAUACCUGGCCUUACUCCUUAUUAGUGAAAGAAAGGAGAAAACAAAGCAAGGCUCCCCAAAGGUCUGUGCCUGAAAUGGCUCGCUUUAGACUUCUAGUGCCUUCCAUUUUCCCUUAUAUGGUUGUACACGAUCAACCAGAGAGGCCUCUGUUUUCUCCUGUGUGUGUGGUGGGGGUGGGGUGGGGCGGGGAUAGUAAUUUUCAUCUUCCCCGUGGCUAAGUGUAGGAAGAAUCAUUUAUUUGUGGGCAUGCCUUCAGGGGUGUAGCUCACAUUCACUUAGCCCUUGCAGCUUGGGCAGAACAUCAUGGAGGGGGGCAUGUGUUGAAACACUACUUACCUCAUGGUUCCAUGACCAGGGGAUGAGGUACAGAAAGCAAGACAGAAAAUAGUCAGGGAUAAUACACACACCUAGGGUUUAACCCCCUUUGGGACUUAAUUCCCUAGGUAGAUUACAUUUCCCAACAUAGAACCACUGUUUGGGGACUAAGUAUUCAAAACCUGAACCAGUGAUGGGGAAUCAUACACAGUCACAGCACUGGCUUCUGCUUGUCUCACACGAAGGGACUUUGUUUUCUUGGGGGAAAGUAACUCCCAUCUAGGGAGCUGUAUGGGGGGGGGGUGAGAGGAGGUGUGAUCUAAGGGGGUUAUUUCUUCCUUCCUAAUCCCGCCCCCCCGCCCCGACCCAGCACUAGAGAAUGAUAGAAUCCUCCUCAGAUGAGCAAACACCACAACAGCUGGUGGUAGUCUCAGUGUAGGUGAGGUUAUUUGACUGUUUAAAACUGGGCUUUUCUGAACUAAAGGAGUUUAUAAAACAUGGUGGGCUUUGACCAUAGUUUUGCAGCCUCCAAUUUGGAAUGAUUCACCCCGUUCCAGUAAGCCAGUGAGCCUGGACACCUUUGGAAGGGAGUACUGCCUGGUGUCCCAACAACGGGAAGGAAGAUGCCAAUCCAUCCUUUUGUCGGAUACCUAUUAGAACCCGGGAUUUGCUGUUUAAGGCGGCUCAUCUCCUGCUUUGGAUUCUGCCUGGAAUCUUAAUAGCACGGUCACUGUGAUGGUGGCUGGUAGGGUCCAUCCACUGAGAUAUUCUCUCAGGGUGGGAAAGGGAAGCCAUGUCUCCCUUAGGGAUGUGACCCGGCCAGCAGGUCCAGUUAUUUGAGGGUCUCGAGGGGACCUUCUCCUAAGAACCAAGUUGGGGGGUAGAGAAAGAUGAGGACCUUGUGCGAAUAACGACACUGAAACGUUCUGAGUUGCAUCAAGGCCCCAAUGUAUUAGCCAGGCCCAAGGUUUAAAUGCACAAGCAAAAGGGGAAGUACAGAUACUUAUCAGCGGGAGGGGUGGGGCAAUAGAAUUGCACAAGCAAAAGGAGAAGUACUUAUCAGUGGGGGGGUCAAUAGAAAUUUUUUCUUUUGGCAGCUACACGGGGAAGCAGGAACUUGGUGGUAUCAGGGUGUGGUCAGGACAACGGCGGCGAUGACUUAGGGCUGGAACAUUCUGUGGUUGAAUCAGUGUCGGUGGCCCGCUUUUGACCCCCUUUUCUUCUGGGGGGGGGGGAGAGGCCCAAUUCAGAGAUCAGGACAAUUGUGUUGUCUUAAUGGCUCCCAACAGGGAUGGUCCAUUGUUUCCUGCCUGCCUGUGGUAGAGGCUGAGGCAAGAGCCCUGCAGAUCAGCCAGGUGGCGCUACCCAUUUGCCAGACACAACGCUCACAGCAAUUCCUCAUGUUUCGAGUGGGAUACUUUUAUGUCUCAGGUGCGGGCCUACUAGCAAGCCAGAAAGGAAGGUUUUGUUCAGAAUAGAAGGUUGAAGGGGGGAUCAGGAGCCCUUCAAUGUAAUGCCCAAAAUUAACUUGUAAGUCCCAUGGGCAUGAACCAGGUAACUUCCCAGAAUGCUGGGAGUUGUAGUUCAUGGUAAAUAAAAUGUCAUGGGAAAGUACAGUGAUCUAUGUGUUUGUCUUUUUUUUCUUCAAUAAUUUAUUUUUGUAUUCACUUUACAUCCUGAUUGUAGCUCCCUUAUUCCUCUUCUCCCAGUCCCACCCUUAUAAAUCCUUCCCCCCAUUACUAUCUAAGGGGACGCCUCCCUUGAGAACCAUUCCACCCUAGGACAUCUAGUCCCAGAAGGACUAAGCCUAAAGGCAGUCCAGGUAGGGGAAGGGGAUCCAGUGGCAGGCAACAGAGUCAGAGACAGACCCUGCUCCAAUUGUUAGGGGACCCACAUGAAGACCAAGUUGCAUAUCUGAUGCAAAUGUGUAGAGGGCCUAGGUGCUGGCCCUGCAGGCUCUUUGGUUGGUGGUUCAGUCUCUGUGAGCCCUUAUGGGCCUAGGUGAGUUGAGUCUGUAGGUUUUCUUGUGGUGUCCUUGACCCCUCAGGCUCAUUCAACUCUAUCCCCCACUCUUCCACAAGGCUCCCUGAGCUCUGUCUGAUGUUUGACUAUGGGUCUCUGUAUAUGUUUCCAUCAGCUGCUGUGUGAAACCUCUCAGGAGACAGUUAUGCUAGGUUCCUGUCUGCAAGCAUAGCGGAAUAUCAAGAAUAGUGUCUGAGGUUGGAUAUCUCACAUGGGAUGGGUCUCAACUUGGGGCAGUCGUUGGUUGGCUGCUCUUAUAAGCCCCUACAGCAAGUGUCUUGAGAACAUUUUCAGCUGGGAAAUUCUGGAGAAUGGCCCUGACUAAAUCCAUCUCUUGGACAGCAUAUACUAUUAAAACAUGCUUGCUUUAAAUUUGGCACAAAAUGGUGGAGGUUUUUUUUUUUUUUUUUUUUUUUUUUACUAACUCUUCCCAUGACAACACUUUAGGAUUCUUUGGCUUGUUAUUCAAUUGACAAAAUACUAUAUUUUUUUUUAUUUUAUCUCUUCUCUUGGAAUUUUAGAAUUCCCUAGCUACAAGAAUUAUAAAGAAAUUAUCAGUAGGGAUUUAUUUAUAAGUAGAAUGUUGCAUUAAAAGAGGUUGAUAUAAUGCUUCCCCGAAGGACCAACAUCACUGGCAUCAACUCAGUCCCCAUGAGGACCUGGAAAGAGCUCAGUUACCACUAAGAGAGGGUAGAUAGCCUGUCCCCAAGUAUGCCGCACAGCACACAGUGGUCCCAGCUGACCUAGGAAGUGAGUGUGUCUUAUGCCCAAGGUUUGAAAAUGAUUAGUACAGCUGAAACCCUAGAGGUGGAUCUCCUAUGUGCCAGUUUUCUAGAAUAUUCCUGUAACUAUUGGCAGGACUAAUUAUUGCUGAUGAAUGCCUGUAAGGCCCAUUAAUCCUAGUCUUCUGGGAGGUUUCAGCACCUGCUAUAGUUUCCUAUGAAAAGGAAUAGACAAUCAAGGAAGGUAAAACCUAUUAAGAUAUGCUGUCACUAAAAUCAACUAUAUUCAACAAUCUGACUAAAUAUGUGUAUAUGUAUGUGUGUGUAUGUGUGUGUGUGUGUGUGUGUGUGUGUGUGUGUGUAUAUAUAUAUAUAUAUAUAUAUAUAUUCCUAAGCUUGUAAAUAAUUUAUAAUAUGACUCAUCCUCCUGCCUUUCUAUAAACUCUAUCUAGUCCAUCUCCCUUUUCCAAAUAUAAAUCCCUAAAGGUUAUGAGCACUCCUAUAUUUGAAGCAGUAAGGAGCAACAAAGUUAUCCUUUUCUGGUUUCUGUGUGCCCUCGGGGAAGCUCUCCCCAGGAGAGAGGAUGAAAUGGCUCAGUGCCUUCAGACCUUUAGAAAACACCUUUUGGGGGUCAGCACCUUGACUCCCCACUGUGCCAGAGCUGACGCGUGAGGCUCUCUAAGGUGCUUCCCAGAAAUGGGUAUGGGCUUUGGGACAGCAUAGGGGGCUUUGAAGAGUGUUGACUUUAUCAGCCCUGUGACUGUUCACUUUAUCACUUUCUUCCUGUGUGAAAUGUCUGCAGACACAGAGGGAGAGACGCUGGCCAGAUGGUGAGGCGAAGGGAAAGGUCACAAAAUGGUUGUAAUUCUAGCAGCUGAAAUCCCGUCCCUAUCUCUUCAUGUCAGCUUAGGGAAGAAACCCUAGUCUGAUUCAGCUCCCAGGAAAGGAGGAAGAUACUGUUACUAAUGGUUGCCCUGACCUGAAUUCUUGCCAUGUUUAUUUAUUCCCAGUGCUGCUAUAUACAACUGAUAGGCUGCCACGGCCACACCCAUAUCCAGCAACAGUGAUCUUAUUCAGAGAGAGCAAGUCAGGCCACAUUGCGUCCUCUGUACCCAUCACGAGCAGACAAGCAGCAAGCAGCUGAUGUGAUGGAAGGGGCUCAGCAUGACACAGUCACCAUGCCCGCAUGGUACCCAGAGAUUGUAUGAUGCCAGGCCUAAGAUAGGCCAGCAGAAUUUGAUGCUGCUUUGAGCCAUGCCUAUCUUUGCUAAUGGCAUAUUUGUGCAGGUUCACACAUGCUAUCCACUUGUACACAUCCAUUCCCCUUCCAAACAAGUGACCACUGAGCACCUGCUACUGUUUGUUAUUGAGCUCAGUGUGGGGAACACUGUCAGUGACAGAACAGGACACUCCAUGUCCCCUUGUCACCUGGGCUCAUCGAUGUGAGUUGUGCCCACACACACACCUGAAGUGGGUUCAAAGAUGACUUUAAUACCAUCUCUUGGGUCUUCAUUCGCUUUAUCUUCUUCACCAUUGCUUUCCUCGGGGCUAGGGAUAAUUUAUUUAUUAAUUACUCUGUUCACUGACAGAGUGCUUGGCUAGAAUGUAUAAGGCUCCUGAGUUUGUUCUCCCAGAAUCUCAAAACACAAACAAGGUAAGACAUGAAAUGUAAUUUAUUUUCCUUUUCUAACAUGGAUGGAAGAAGAUGGGAAAAGGUCUAACACUGAUUGCAAAACCCUAGGUUUCCUUAAGCCUUUUGCACUAGAAACAGGAGAUUGUCAGCAUACCCAUCUAUGGGAUCUUUCUUUCUUAAAAAGUGAAAAGUGGGGGGCUGGAGAGAUAGCUCAGUGGUUAAAGAGUAGUGGCUGCUCUUCCAGAGGUUCAGAGUUCAAUUCCCAGCAACUACAUGGUGGUUCACAACCAUCUGUAAUGGGAUCCGAUGCCUUCUUCUGGUGUGUCUGAAGACAGUUACGGUGUACUCACAUACAUAAAAUGAAUCUUUUUAAAAAAUAGAGAGAGUGAAGAGUGUAUUGUUUUAUUUAUGUAUGUGAGUGCAUCUCUGGGUGAGUGAGUACCACAUGGGUACAGGAGUCUGUAGAAGCCAGAAGAGACCCGGAUCUCUUGGAGCUAGAGUUACAGGGAGUCGUGAUCUACCUAACUGGGUGCUGGGAACCUACCAUGGGUCCUCAGGAAGAGCAUCAAGUGUCCUUGCCAGCUGAGCCGUCCAUUUGUGGUAUUCCUCUACAAUGCCAUCUAGCCAUCUGUCUAUCUCAUUCUCCCAUUCUCCAGUAUAGACCCCUGGGUGACACCGGGCAUCACCUACAGUUAAAGAUGGUGUCUGCAGCUGCCAAAGCCUCUGACCGUGCUUUGAGAAGCGUGCUCUCCACACAAAGGUGCCCCUUUGCCCAGCGAUCCCCUCACAGUGUUCCCUCCAUUUAAGACAGACACUGCCUCCACAGUCUGUUCUAGUGUUUUCCUUGCUUCCCUGUGCUGAAUUACAGCCCCAGUCAACGGCCCACUUGUGUGUAAUUCAAGAAGCAAUUAUGGGCUUUUUGCUUUGAACAAGCAAGGGAGGGGGGUAGAAUGAAAGAUGAUCAUUACCCUACUAUUCCUCUGCUUUAGCCAAACAGUUCACAGAGCCUUGAUGCCAAAAGUCACGGGCCUUGAAACAGUGGAGGGUUGGGGGUGGGGGGGAGGGGCACUGCCUUCCACAACCACGCCUGCCUACUAGAAGGCAGGGACUCAUCCACCAUCAGGUUGAGGGACACAAGCUGACUUUAGAAUUGUGUUUAAAUACGAUUGUAAUGUCUGCACCAUGAUCCACAGCCUGGUGAUGCUAUCGCUGCAAAUUAAAAUGUGCAAACUUCAGAGUCCUCCGAAGGAAGCUCACAGUCUCGGCUGUAAGCCUUUUGUUUUAUUCUGUGGGAUUUACUCUAAUCGGAAAAUGGCAGCCUUAUCUCUCUGAGCGAGGCCACAUGAAUGGUGUCUAUCUUUAGUUUCUCUAUUCCUAGAGGGCAGGGGCUUUUAUCUCUCGGAUCCCACCGGGUCUCUAACAGCGCUGGCGAUCGAAGCUGCUUAAAUAUUUUUGUUGCGAUGAUCAAGGGAUGGCCUUCUUACUUACUGUUUGCUCCGUAAGUACAUCUGCCACAUGUGGAGUAAUAGAUGACACUCUGGGAAGAGAAAGUCACCAAAUGUCAGCGCUUCACCAAUGUGUUCAAAUGCCCACUCUUCCUCCCCACUCCCCCUUCAGCAGCAGCAGCAGCAGCAGCAGCAGCAGCAACUGAGAAUGUGUUUAAAAUGUACAUUACAGAUCUGGUGAGGUAGCUGAGUGGAUAAAUGCUUGCCACCCAAACUUGAUGGCCUGUGGUCAAUCCCCAGAGCCCAUCUGAAGUGCCUGGCAUGGUGAUGCUUACAUUUAACUUCAGGACAGGGUAGGUUAGAGAUACAUCCCUGGGCUCACUGGUCAACAGGACUAGCUUGUUUGAGGAAUUCCAGGUUCAAUGAGAGAACCUAUCUCAAACAAGGUAGAUGGCACCUGAAGAAUGAUACCAGAGCUUGACCUCAGGUCUUCACACAGGGUUCAUCUAUGUGUACACACACCCAAACACACAACACAAACACACACACACACACACACACACACACACACACACCUGUGCAAAUAAGCAAAUAAAUAAGUACACUCUUUGGCCUGCCCUCAAAUGCUGUGGUGUCCAGACCAUCCAAGUGUUGCUAGCUAUGCUCAGGAGUCAGAAUAACUUAAGUCCAAGUCCAUACUGGAUUUAGCAGCUGCAGAAAGCAUGUAAUUCAUCAAGGCCACAUGGGGCAGGUGUGCAAUGGGGUGGUUCUGACCUUGACCUGAAUGUCUCCUUGCUUCUCUGCUUAGAAUGCAUGCCCCGGCAGGCAAGGACACUAAUUCUUGUUCAACAUCUGAGCAGCUGUGAGGUGAUGAGGUUAGACCAGGAAGACUCGGGUCAAUGUGUAGCACUGCUCCAGUAGCUUGGAGACUUUGGGAAAACCCAUUAACCUCAUUACACUCAACUGGACCUGCGUUUUCCCAUUUCACGAAUGGAGAUAAUUUUAUCUGUCCUGUCUGAUUCAUAGGACGUUCUGCUCUAUUGAGAUAGGGGUGCUUUUUGGAACUUGGUCCAAAGUUAAGACCUCCCUUUGCCUCCGGAAUGACUGAAGGUGUUCUGCCAUUAAGGAUGAGAGCUCAGUGUGCAAGCAAAGGACUUCAUUUAUUUAUGACACAUUUGCAUGCCUGUACAUGACAACACAUGCAUGUUAACACUCUCUGGGGCUUCUCUAGUAAGGAGCAACAGGACUUCGGUGGAGUCUGAUCAACCUAAAUAAGACUUCCCUCCUCCAACCUGAGACUCCAUGUUCAGUUACUCAAGCAGCCUUUCCUUGAACUACUGGAACCCCGAGUUUGGUAAUACUUGGUGAUGUCCAAAGUGUGAGGGCCAUGUAGAAGCAAGAACCUGAAGGCUGUCUGCCAAGUACUGAUGCCAGUAGGCAUGGAUGUUGCCUUGUCUCUGGGCAGGGGUGGGACUUAGUAGUAGCAGAUGUGGGAAGCUGGUUGGCUGAGUGUCUGCUCUGGCUGGGCCAAGGCUAUUGGAAAAGGGGAGGACAGAAGAGAAGGAGUCCUGACAAGUCUCACACACAGCAAGGCUGAAUGCAAAUGAGACUUCAUACAGACAAGUGCCUACAUCCAAAGGAGCUCAGGGUCAAUGGAUGAAUUACCAAAGGUGUCUGGUGUUUUGACUCACUUUUAAGUCCUCUGGAGGCCAUUGAACAGCUGAGUUGGCUGAGUUUAAACUGCCCCCAAAGGGGCCAUGUGUGGUGCUGCAUACCAGUGGUCUUGCGAGACCAACUGUGGAAGAAUACAAGUUCAAGGCCAUCCUGGGCUACACAGCAAGAUCCUAUUGCAAAAGAAACAAACUCCACCAUCUAAGUGAUGUAUGUGCCCUGCUGGGAUCUAACAGCACAUUAGAAACCCUGAUCUCAUCACCAGGUGGACCCUAAGCAGUGCUGUCUCACCCCAGUGUGCAAAACAAUAGCUACCGAAGGCUGCCUGUCUUUCUCUCUCUCUCUUUACAGAAUUUCAGUGACAUUACUAUCUGCCCAAGGGACACACCGCACUAAUGAGGGAGUUCACUUGAGAAGCCAAUGUGUACGUCAUGUUGAAUGCCUUCGAGUCAGAUACCCCAAGAGCCUGAAUGAGAGCCUCAGUUCUGGUGUCUCCUUAAGUGCAUGAAUCCAUUUUCCUUUCUCUUCUGAGCCUAAAGCCUUGGACCCACCCCCUUGGGUUGAAAUAGGUCACAGAAUCACAGCAUAAGCAACCAUGCUUUUUCCAGGCAGUUCAUGCCAUUUGAUAAUUGGUGCCACUGAGCAGUGAUAGAUGGUGCUGUGGGGAAAUGGGACUUACACCCUUCAAUGUCACCAUCACCAGAGAAAGCCAUGCUUUCACGAUCCCUCUCCUCCAUGAUUCCAUACCUCAUUGAACACUUUGGUUGGCAAUAGAAAUGGAAUGGGGAGGACAUUUGGUUUCACCAGGGGCACAUCUGCAAUCUGCCUUCCCACCGUGACUCACAACCAAACCACCGCUUUUGGUUUGUGAGGCUCAAGAAACCACUUGAGCAGUUCGUAGCACCCGAACAAGAGAGACACCUUGGCCACUUUUAUGUCAGAACAGCCAUGCCCUUCCUGUUCUUUACAAAGUCCUCUUGAGAGUGUGUGUGUUUGGUGGUGGACAGAAGCACCAUAGGGGAGGAGUUCCAUCCAAAAUCCUCUAUUGCUACCAAAUUGUGUUGGGUCUGUUGAGACCUCAGUCCCUGGAAUUCCCUUCUUCUAAAAUGCUGCUGGAUUGGAGAAACUAAACACUUAGCAUAAGAUUAAGAUUACACACUGUUCUAGGUUUGGACCCAGUCCUCAAACAUUACCACAACCGAUGAAGUAGACCUCAUACUGUGUCCCUGGUUCCCCACAGGGUCAUAGGUAACUCUAUGGGUGAGUCUCAACUCCCAAUAUUUUUUUCUGUGAAUAAGUUAGACUUUACAAAAUAAAAAAGAAAUGUUUACCAUUUAAAAAGCAACCCAAUGCAUACUCAUUUUGUUAAAAGAAGUGAACAGAGAGCGAUUCCAAUUUACACAGCACUUCCUUUCUGUUAUGUUUUGCUUUUCUCUGUAGAAUGGAGAGCUUAAAUUAGAUUAUUAAAGUCCUAGACAUGCAGUGUUGUUGGCACACAUGUAGUCUCUAUUCAGAGCUCACAUCUGUAACCUCUGCACCCUGGUGACUCAGAGUAGCUUGCAUAAGAAGAAUGUAGACAACUUUACCCACAUUGAUCUAAUUAAAUCACAUCCUAAAAUCAUACAAAUGUCCACCAAUUCUCUAUUGUCCUUACAGACCUACCCGUGCUGGUGUCUGCAGAGCGACUGGCAGGAGGGAAAUGGUGCAGGUGACAAGUCUUUGGGUGAAAAGAAAGAAGUGGCGGUGCCUUGGCUUGCUUUCAGCCCGUUCUAAUUUGUAAUGCUCUUGCCUUCGUUUACAAUCUUGUCCAUGUACAUAAACAGUAAUUUGCUCUUCUUAACACAUACUGUAGUUAAGAGUUCUGUUGGGAGCAAUUGGUGUUCUUUAUCUGUGACAUCACGAGCGUUUAAAAAA